This 484-nucleotide ribosomal RNA is filed under the name uncultured bacterium. RNAcentral describes it as "bacterial SSU rRNA". It matches the Rfam family "Bacterial small subunit ribosomal RNA", at positions 27 to 507 of the family's 1533-position model. The record is from RNAcentral.
CGAUUGAACGCUGGCGGAAUGCUUUACACAUGCAAGUCGAACGGCAGCACGGGGCAACCUGGUGGCGAGUGGCGAACGGGUGAGUAAUACAUCGGAACGUGCCCAAUCGUGGGGGAUAACGUAGCGAAAGUUACGCUAAUACCGCAUACGAUCUACGGAUGAAAGCGGGGGAUCGCAAGACCUCGCGCGAGUGGAGCGGCCGAUGUCAGAUUAGGUAGUUGGUGGGGUAAAGGCUCACCAAGCCAACGAUCUGUAGCUGGUCUGAGAGGACGACCAGCCACACUGGAACUGAGACACGGUCCAGACUCCUACGGGAGGCAGCAGUGGGGAAUUUUGGACAAUGGGCGCAAGCCUGAUCCAGCCAUUCCGCGUGCAGGAUGAAGGCCUUCGGGUUGUAAACUGCUUUUGUACGGAACGAAACGGCGAGCUCUAAUACAGUUUGCUAAUGACGGUACCGUAAGAAUAAGCACCGGCUAACUACGUG